UACGUAGGGGGCGAGCGUUGUCCGGAUUUAUUGGGCGUAAAGAGCGUGUAGGCGGCCAGGUAGGUCUGCUGUGAAAACUCGAGGCUCAACCUCGAGACGUCGGCGGAAACCAUCUGGCUAGAGUCCGGAAGAGGAGAGUGGAAUUCCUGGUGUAGCGGUGAAAUGCGCAGAUAUCAGGAAGAACACCUGUGGCGAAGGCGGCUCUCUGGGACGGUACUGACGCUGAGACGCGAAAGCGUGGGGAGCGAACAGG
RNAcentral lists this ribosomal RNA (253 nucleotides) under uncultured bacterium. Its description in RNAcentral is "partial 16S ribosomal RNA". It matches the Rfam family "Bacterial small subunit ribosomal RNA", at positions 524 to 776 of the family's 1533-position model. The record is from RNAcentral.